UACGUAGGGGGCAAGCGUUGUCCGGAUUUAUUGGGCGUAAAGAGCGUGUAGGCGGCUUCACAGGUCCGCUGUGAAAACUCGAGGCUCAACCUCGAGCUGUCGGUGGAAACCGUGUGGCUAGAGUCCGGAAGAGGAGAGUGGAAUUCCCGGUGUAGCGGUGAAAUGCGCAGAUAUCGGGAAGAACACCCGUGGCGAAGGCGGCUCUCUGGGACGGUACUGACGCUGAGACGCGAAAGCGUGGGGAGCAAACGGG
This 253-nucleotide ribosomal RNA is filed under the name uncultured bacterium. RNAcentral describes it as "partial 16S ribosomal RNA". It matches the Rfam family "Bacterial small subunit ribosomal RNA", at positions 524 to 776 of the family's 1533-position model. The record is from RNAcentral.